UACCAGCACCCCGAGUGGUCGGGACGUUUUAUUGGGCCUAAAGCAUCCGUAGCCGGUUCUACAAGUCUUCCGUUAAAUCCACCUGCUUAACAGAUGGGCUGCGGAAGAUACUAUAGAGCUAGGAGGCGGGAGAGGCAAGCGGUACUCGAUGGGUAGGGGUAAAAUCCGUUGAUCCAUUGAAGACCACCAGUGGCGAAGGCGGCUUGCCAGAACGCGCUCGACGGUGAGGGAUGAAAGCUGGGGGAGCAAACCGGG
This 255-nucleotide ribosomal RNA is filed under the name uncultured bacterium. RNAcentral's name for it is "partial 16S ribosomal RNA". It matches the Rfam family "Archaeal small subunit ribosomal RNA", at positions 474 to 728 of the family's 1478-position model. The record is from RNAcentral.